This is a long non-coding RNA of Monopterus albus (swamp eel), 743 nucleotides long. RefSeq lists it as uncharacterized. The record is from RefSeq and is a predicted model, not a curated record. NCBI's taxonomy places the organism in Eukaryota, Metazoa, Chordata, Actinopteri, Synbranchiformes, Synbranchidae. The transcript has 3 exons.
CUGACCUCCGGGUGACUAUGGGCGCCACACCAACACUGCGUGCGGAGGCUCUGUGGUGUCUAAACACUGCAGUUAAACACCACUCAUUGAACUCCAACGAAGGAAUUGCGGAGCUGUUUAAAGAAAUGUUUCCCGACUCUGACAUCGCCAAGUCAUUCACGUGUGGUAAAGACAAAACCGGGUACAUAAUCAGAUUUGGAUUAGCAUCGUUCUUCAAAAAACAGCUUGUCGAUGGCAUCAACAAGGCUGGGCCAUUUGUGUUGAUGUUUGAUGAGAGCCUCAAUCAGGCGUCAAAGAAAAAACAGCUUGACAUCCAUAUUCGAUACUGGGAGGAUGGCCGUGUCCAGUCCAGAUACUUUGGAUCUCAGUUUUUGGGACAUGGAAGGACCGAUGAUUUGUUGCAUCACAUCAAGGAAUGUGUUACACAACUGAAUAUGAGGGAACUACUAUCAGUUGGCAUGGAUGGCUGCAGCUGAUCAAAACAGAACUAAAGUAUGAAAAGAACUUGGUCUCCCCUAUGAGUGUAGACACAGGCCUGGGUGCUGAAUCUGCCAUCAAAGACCUUCAGAGCAAACCAGGAUGCAAGGUUGGUGAGCUUUCUGUGCUCACCUUCAGGCAAGAAUGUUUGCAGGGCCUGGUUAAGGUGGUUAUGAAGCUACAGGAGAAAAGCCCCCUGAAAUUCCCAGUGGUCAGGCAGAUUGCUGAUUGGUGCAUCAGACAGAUGAAGAGCAUAGUGCAAACAU